Molecule: ribosomal RNA, 497 nt
Filed under: uncultured bacterium
Lineage: Bacteria
Description: partial 16S ribosomal RNA
Rfam family: Bacterial small subunit ribosomal RNA
Source: RNAcentral
GAUGAACGCUGGCGGCGUGCCUAAUACAUGCAAGUCGAGCGAACGGACGAGAAGCUUGCUUCUCUGAUGUUAGCGGCGGACGGGUGAGUAACACGUGGAUAACCUACCUAUAAGACUGGGAUAACUUCGGGAAACCGGAGCUAAUACCGGAUAAUAUUUUGAACCGCAUGGUUCAAAAGUGAAAGACGGUCUUGCUGUCACUUAUAGAUGGAUCCGCGCUGCAUUAGCUAGUUGGUAAAGUAACGGCUUACCAAGGCAACGAUGCAUAGCCGACCUGAGAGGGUGAUCGGCCACACUGGAACUGAGACACGGUCCAGACUCCUACGGGAGGCAGCAGUAGGGAAUCUUCCGCAAUGGGCGAAAGCCUGACGGAGCAACGCCGCGUGAGUGAUGAAGGUCUUCGGAUCGUAAAACUCUGUUAUUAGGGAUGAACAUAUGUGUAAGUAACUGUGCACAUCUUGACGGUACCUAAUCAGAAAGCCACGGCUAACUACGUG